GUUGGCUUAGAAGCAGCCACCCUUGAAAGAGUGCGUAAUAGCUCACUGGUCAAGUGAUUCCGCGCCGACAAUGUAACGGGGCUCAAGCACGCCACCGAAGUUGUGGCAUUGACAUUAUUGGUAGGCCUUCGUGGUCCAGCCGUGUUGAUGGGUAGGAGAGCGUCGUGUGGCCAGCGAAGCGGCGGUGUGAACCAGCCGUGGAGGCUACACGAGUGAGAAUGCAGGCAUGAGUAGCGAAUGACGUGUGAGAAACACGUCCUCCGAAAGACCAAGGGUUCCAGGGUCAAGCUAAUCUUCCCUGGGUAAGUCGGGACCUAAGGCGAGGCCGACAGGCGUAGUCGAUGGACAACGGGUUGAUAUUCCCGUACCGGCGAAGAAC
This 379-nucleotide ribosomal RNA is filed under the name Aristerostoma sp. ATCC 50986. RNAcentral's name for it is "partial Bacterial large subunit ribosomal RNA". It matches the Rfam family "Bacterial large subunit ribosomal RNA", at positions 1100 to 1455 of the family's 2925-position model. The record is from RNAcentral. Lineage: Eukaryota; Ciliophora; Colpodea; Cyrtolophosidida; Cyrtolophosididae.